RNAcentral lists this ribosomal RNA (467 nucleotides) under uncultured bacterium. RNAcentral describes it as "partial 16S ribosomal RNA". It matches the Rfam family "Bacterial small subunit ribosomal RNA", at positions 29 to 507 of the family's 1533-position model. The record is from RNAcentral.
ACGCACGCUGGCGGCGUGCUUCACCCCUGCCAGUCGCACGGAAAGGCCCUGCUUUUGUGGGGUGCUCGAGUGGCGAACGGGUGAGUAACACGUGAGUAACCUGCCCUUGACUUUGGGAUAACUUCAGGAAACUGGGGCUAAUACCGGAUAGGAGCUCCUGCUGCAUGGUGGGGGUUGGAAAGUUUCGGCGGUUGGGGAUGGACUCGCGGCUUAUCAGCUUGUUGGUGGGGUAGUGGCUUACCAAGGCUUUGACGGGUAGCCGGCCUGAGAGGGUGACCGGCCACAUUGGGACUGAGGGACGGCCCAGACUCCUACGGGAGGCAGCAGUGGGGAAUAUUGCACAAUGGGCGGAAGCCUGAUGCAGCAACGCCGCGUGCGGGAUGACGGCCUUCGGGUUGUAAACCGCUUUCGCCUGUGACGAAGCGUGAGUGACGGUAAUGGGUAAAGAAGCACCGGCUAACUACGUG